GACGAACGCUGGCGGCGUGCCUAACACAUGCAAGUCGAACGGUUAAGCGCCUUCCUUUUUGGUGGGUGUGGAUGAGCGGCGAACGGGUGAGUAACACGUUAGCAACCUGCCCCCUUCUUCUGGAUAACCGCAUGAAAGUGCGGCUAACACGGGAUAUUCUGGGUCUCUCGCAUGAUGGGUCAGGGAAAGAUAUUGUUUCGGUGGGGGCUGGGCUCGCGGCCUAUCAGCUUGUUGGUGGGGUGAUGGCAUACCAAGGCGGUGACGGGUAGCCGGCCUGAGAGGGUCGACGGUCAUAAUGGGAAGGAGUGACGGCACGGACUACAGUAGGAAGCAGCAGGGGGGAAUAGUGCACGAUGGGGGAAAGUAUGAGGCAACGACGCGGGGUGGGGGAGGGAGGACUGCGGGUUGUAAUCCUCUAUCAGAAGAGAAGCAGGCCUGCCUCGGUUGUGAAUGGGUUGACGGUAGCUGAAUAAUAAGCGCCGGCUAACUACGUG
Molecule: ribosomal RNA, 494 nt
Filed under: uncultured bacterium
Lineage: Bacteria
Description: partial 16S ribosomal RNA
Rfam family: Bacterial small subunit ribosomal RNA
Source: RNAcentral